AACCCAAAAAAAAGGUAUUUGAAAGGUGAUGCCUGCCCGGUGACUCACGUUCAACGGCCGCGGUAUCCUAACCGUGCAAAGGUAGCGCAAUCAAUUGUCCCAUAAAUCGAGACUAGUAUGAAUGGCUAAACGAGGUCUUAACUGUCUCUUACAGGCAAUCGGUGAAAUUGAUCUCCCUGUACAAAAGCAGGGAUAAACCCAUAAGACGAGAAGACCCUGUGGAACUUUAAAACCAGCAACCACCUUAAAACACAUACUCACCCACUGGGUUCACUGUCACACAAGCCACUGGUUCGCGUUUUUCGGUUGGGGCGACCUUGGAGCAAAACAGAACCUCCAAAAAUUAGACCAUACCUCUAGACUGAGAGCAACCCCUCAACGUGCUAAUAGCACCCAGACCCAAUAUAAUUGAUCAAUGGACCAAGCUACCCCAGGGAUAACAGCGCAAUCUCCUCCGAGAGUCCAUAUCGACGGGGAGGUUUACGACCUCGAUGUUGGAUCAGGACAUCCUAGUGGUGCAGCCGCUACUAAGGGUUCGUUUGUUCAACGAUUAACAGUCCUACGUGAUCUGAUUCCAGACCAGA
Molecule: ribosomal RNA, 584 nt
Filed under: Sporophila caerulescens (double-collared seedeater)
Lineage: Eukaryota; Metazoa; Chordata; Aves; Passeriformes; Thraupidae
Description: partial 16S ribosomal RNA
Rfam family: Bacterial large subunit ribosomal RNA
Source: RNAcentral